This 471-nucleotide ribosomal RNA is filed under the name uncultured bacterium. RNAcentral describes it as "bacterial SSU rRNA". It matches the Rfam family "Bacterial small subunit ribosomal RNA", at positions 28 to 507 of the family's 1533-position model. The record is from RNAcentral.
GAUGAACGCUGGCGGCGUGCUUAACACAUGCAAGUCGAACGAAGAUGCCGGAGUGCUUGCACUUUGGCAGACUGAGUGGCGGACGGGUGAGUAACGCGUGGGUAACCUGCCUUAUACAGGGGGAUAACAGUUGGAAACGACUGCUAAUACCGCAUAAGCGCACGGUAUCGCAUGAUACAGUGUGAAAAACUCCGGUGGUAUAAGAUGGCCUCGCGUCCGAUUAGCUAGUUGGUGAGGUAACGGCCCACCAAGGCGACGAUCGGUAGCCGGACUGAGAGGUUGAACGGCCACAUUGGGACUGAGAUACGGCCCAGACUCCUACGGGAGGCAGCAGUGGGGAAUAUUGGGCAAUGGGCGCAGGCCUGACCCAGCAACGCCGCGUGAAGGAAGAAGGCUUUCGGGUUGUAAACUUCUUUUAAGAGGGAAGAGCAGAAGACGGUACCUCUAGAAUAAGCCACGGCUAACUACGUG